GGAUUUAGCUCAGUGGUAGAGCGUUUGCCUAGCAAGCGCAAGGCCCUGGGUUCGGUCCCCAGCUCCG
This is a non-coding RNA of Rattus norvegicus (Norway rat), 67 nucleotides long. The record is from Rfam. NCBI's taxonomy places the organism in Eukaryota, Metazoa, Chordata, Mammalia, Rodentia, Muridae.